AAAUUACGCUGACAUUGACCUCUAGAAAGCUCCAUCUACCCUUCCUGGUGCCACCUGCCAAUCCAAGGAAGAGUCCCAAAUGACCAUCCUCUCCCUGCUUUCUCCAAGUUGCGAGCCCACACGCGACGUGCAGAGCUCUCUCCGUUCAGUCCAGCCAGUGCCGCUCUCGGAAGACCUGGCAAGUCUGCAAGUCCUGGAGCGAGUUGCAGCGUCCCAGCCGCACCUCGCCACCCGCCUGGAGAUGCGCCUUUGCUAGGCGGCAGCGCGUGGAGAGAUAGUCGCAGGUCGCCGGGGCGGAGCGCACCAGGUUCCCGGGAGGAGGCGGGAGCUGGGGGGCGCCCGGGGUGAGACCGCGACACCGUCAACAUCAUAAAGGACUCAGACCCCUACAUUCCCGACAUCAUAAACAACUCAGAUAGAUGCGGAAACCGAGACGGCCUGGAUGGAAAACUCUUUCAAACUUUGAUCCACACAAUUAUUCUCUUUCUUGGUCUUUGAAUUUGGGCAAACGACAAGCGAGGCAUAGAGAUCGCUUCAACUCGCUCCCCGCGGCUCGCCCAGACGUUAGGGUUUGGGGCCGCCGUUUGACUUUGGCCCUGCAGGUCAAAAUCAGCCUUUCUGGGCCUGUCUUCUCGGGGGCCAGGGGCAGGGCCUGGUCCUCUCUGCGCGCCCGCAACCCUGCACCCCUUUCCUGUGACCUGCGGCGAAGCUCGGCGGGGGACCGGGUAUUCAAUUGACCAGGAGUCCGCGAGGCGCAGAUGCAGGAGUGCUGGGACGCUCGCGAUGAGUUUGCAGUUCCUGCCGGCUCCAGCAACGCCCCGGGUCAGUCCGGGGCGUUGCUUUGUUGCAACUCCGAAGGCGCCAAGGCAGGGAGGGACCGGUAGGCGAAGGGCAGCCGCGCUCUUGCACUCUGUUUCAGUCCUCCAGUCGCUGUUGAAUGGAGUUUCCAUCUCCAGUCUCAGCCAAAGCAGGCAAGGCGGACAACCUCGCCCUGGCAACUAUAUCUUGAGGAAGAUGCAUAAUAUGAGUAAAGUGACGGAAGACCUAGAGACCAAGCGGGUUGCCCAGUCCCAGACUAAGCCUCAGAUCUGGUGCAGCAGCCACACCUGGUCUGCCUCACAUCACUCGCUGAACAGCAUAUCUCUGCGACUUGACAGGCAGGAAGUGCGUCCUUCAGUGACUGUAGUCAGAUCAUCCAGUCUUCUCUGGAUUACUGCAAAAACCUCAAGUCCUGUGGUCCCUAAUCCAUUCUUCACACUGCUGCCAGGGAAGUCUUAGGGUUGUCGUGAUGGUUAUAUGAGUUAAACACUUACAAAAGUUGUCUGGCAUAUGCUGAGCACUAUUUUAGUGUUGAUUUUUAUUAUCAUUGUCAUCAUCUUUCUAAAAUAAAAAUCUGAUUAAAUUAUGUCCCAGAUUAUAAAACUCUCAAUAGUUCCUAACAGAUUUGAAGGUACAUUUUAACUCUUUGUUAAAAAUUCUACCAAAGUACUUGUUGUUCUAAUACAAUAUAUUGUUUCAUGCCUCUUUACCUUUACAUGUAUUUUCC
Molecule: long non-coding RNA, 1546 nt
Filed under: Macaca mulatta (Rhesus monkey)
Lineage: Eukaryota; Metazoa; Chordata; Mammalia; Primates; Cercopithecidae
Description: lncRNA (ENSMMUG00000054590.1)
Source: RNAcentral